Molecule: long non-coding RNA, 791 nt
Organism: Lathyrus oleraceus (garden pea)
Lineage: Eukaryota; Viridiplantae; Streptophyta; Magnoliopsida; Fabales; Fabaceae
Exons: 6
Source: RefSeq, a predicted model, not a curated record
UCCCCUCCCAUUCCAUCCCUUCAUUAAAAUCUCCCCCCUCUCAUCUCCUCAUUUGAAUCAAACAGACCCUUAAUCGCUAAGUUCGCAUCUGUGUUGAUAACCAUUAACUCUUCUUCUCAGGUUCCUAUGGACUCCCUUUCUUUUUCCAACUUGUUGAUCCCUUCUUGUGAGGCUAUCUAAUUGCCAGAUGUUAUCUUCCUGAUGCUGACUUUGCUUUGGAUUUUUAGACGCAUGCAUAGAACCUUUGAGGGUGGAAUUUAAAGACACUCAUAACACAAGUGGGUAUGGUUUGGGCAAUAACUUUGAACACGGUGGCUUUGCCCGCAUAAGAUAGUGAGAUUCUCAAAAGUGGAUUUCCCCUACUCAGCAAGGCCUUGCAACAUUUGUUUCUGCUUGGUUUCAUAGUUUCUUGGGAAUGAUCAGGUUCGGAGGAGGGAAAUUAAAAUCCAUCAUCGACGAGGAGGAAUGAGCUAACAACAAAAGACAGAGAAAAAACUGGAAGUUGCAGAAAAAAAGACGCAAAAGAAGACAAAUCAAUACCAAAACUUCUCAGAGAGAAGAAUGAAUAUCGCCGGAAAACUGAAAGAGAUGAAAAAGGCACAACUCAGCAUCCAAGAUGAUGAUUGGAACAAACAAAACACUCACACUUGAUACCGGAACAAAGUAGGAGAAGAAUAAAUCGAAAAGGGGGAUUGAAAGGGAUCAAUCAUUUAGGGAAAUUAGGAGAAGAAAACAUCAAUCUUGGAGAUUUCUUGGAGUUUUUUUUAGGUUCAUUAAUAAAUUGUUUUUAA